AGUGAACGCUGGCGGUAGGCCUAACACAUGCAAGUCGAGCGGCAGCACAGGAGAGCUUGCUCUCUGGGUGGCGAGUGGCGGACGGGUGAGGAAUACAUCGGAAUCUACUUUUUCGUGGGGGAUAACGUAGGGAAACUUACGCUAAUACCGCAUACGACCUACGGGUGAAAGCAGGGGACCUUCGGGCCUUGCGCGAUUGAAUGAGCCGAUGUCGGAUUAGCUAGUUGGCGGGGUAAAGGCCCACCAUGGCGACGAUCCGUAGCUGGUCUGAGAGGAUGAUCAGCCACACUGGAACUGAGACACGGUCCAGACUCCUACGGGAGGCAGCAGUGGGGAAUAUUGGACAAUGGGCGCAAGCCUGAUCCAGCCAUACCGCGUGGGUGAAGAAGGCCUUCGGGUUGUAAAGCCCUUUUGUUGGGAAAGAAAUCCAGCCGGCUAAUACCUGGUUGGGAUGACGGUACCCAAAGAAUAAGCACCGGCUAACUUCGUGCCAGCCGCCGCAGUAA
This 506-nucleotide ribosomal RNA is filed under the name uncultured bacterium. Its description in RNAcentral is "partial 16S ribosomal RNA". It matches the Rfam family "Bacterial small subunit ribosomal RNA", at positions 29 to 523 of the family's 1533-position model. The record is from RNAcentral.